UGGAGUAUGUGGUUUAAUUCGAUGCAACGCGAAGAACCUUACCUGGUCUUGACAUCCCGGAGACCCUUAGGAAACUAGGGGGUGCUUCCAUCUGGAAGAAUCUGGAGACAGGUGCUGCAUGGCUGUCGUCAGCUCGUGUCGUGAGAUGUUGGGUUAAGUCCCGCAACGAGCGCAACCCUUGCCUUUAGUUGCCAGCAGUUCGGCUGGGCACUCUAAAGGGACUGCCGGUGUUAAACCGGAGGAAGGUGGGGGAUGACGUCAAGUCCUCAUGGCCUUUAUGACCAGGGCUACACACGUACUACAAUGGCCGAUACAAAGGGCAGCGACACUGCGAGGUGAAGCCAAUCCCGUAAAAUCGGUCUCAGUCCGGAUUGGAGUCUGCAACUCGACUCCAUGAAGUUGGAAUCGCUAGUAAUCGUGGAUCAGCAUGCCACGGUGAAUACGUUCCCGGGCCUU
This 456-nucleotide ribosomal RNA is filed under the name uncultured Desulfobulbus sp. RNAcentral describes it as "bacterial SSU rRNA". It matches the Rfam family "Bacterial small subunit ribosomal RNA", at positions 933 to 1382 of the family's 1533-position model. The record is from RNAcentral. Lineage: Bacteria; Pseudomonadati; Thermodesulfobacteriota; Desulfobulbia; Desulfobulbales; Desulfobulbaceae.